UAGGGAAUCUUCCGCAAUGGACGCAAGUCUGACGGAGCAACGCCGCGUGAGUGAAGAAGGAUUUCGGUUCGUAAAACUCUGUUGUUAGAGAAGAACAGCGCAUAGAGUAACUGUUAUGCGUGUGACGGUAUCUAACCAGAAAGCCACGGCUAACUACGUGCCAGCAGCCGCGGUAAUACGUAGGUGGCAAGCGUUGUCCGGAUUUAUUGGGCGUAAAGCGAGCGCAGGCGGUCAAUUAAGUCUGAUGUGAAAGCCCCCGGCUCAACCGGGGAGGGUCAUUGGAAACUGGUUGACUUGAGUGCAGAAGAGGAGAGUGGAAUUCCAUGUGUAGCGGUGAAAGGCGUAGAUAUAUGGAGGAACACCAGUGGCGAAGGCGACUCUCUAGUCUGUAACUGACGCUGAGGCUCGAAAGCGUGGGUAGCAAACAGG
RNAcentral lists this ribosomal RNA (429 nucleotides) under Bacteroidota bacterium. RNAcentral's name for it is "Bacteroidetes bacterium partial 16S ribosomal RNA". It matches the Rfam family "Bacterial small subunit ribosomal RNA", at positions 355 to 776 of the family's 1533-position model. Lineage: Bacteria; Pseudomonadati; Bacteroidota. The record is from RNAcentral.